Molecule: long non-coding RNA, 2664 nt
Organism: Carassius gibelio (silver crucian carp)
Lineage: Eukaryota; Metazoa; Chordata; Actinopteri; Cypriniformes; Cyprinidae
Exons: 3
Source: RefSeq, a predicted model, not a curated record
UUCAGAUCGGGACUUCGGAGCCUUUUCGCAUCUCGGUUGAUUCAGAUCGGGACUUCGGAGCCUUUUCGCAUCUCGGUUGAUUCAGAUCAGCACUUCGGAGCCUGUUCAGAUCGCCACUUCGGAGCAUGUUCGCAACUCGGUUGAUUCAGAUUGGGACAUCGGAGCAUGUUUGAGAUUUUUUUUUAAUUCACAUCUGGACAUCGAAGCAGGAAGUGUUUGUCAAACAGUUAAUUGGUGAUAAAUGAAUAUUUGGACUUGAGGCUUUUUUUAACCUGUCGAUUCAGCAUGUACAUGGGCCCACACACAAAGGUGGACACACUCUAGACUUAAUCAUCAGAAGAGCUCUAAACUUUUCAUCCAUUUGUUAUUAAGGACGUUAUUCAUAACUGUACUGAAAAUAAGCAAAUAUUGUAGCUGAUGCUAAAUGUCUACCUCCUAUAUAUCAUAUAUAUAUAUAUAUAGAGAGAGAUAGAUAGAUAGAUAGAUUACAUCUGAGGAGAAAAGAAAGGAUGUGAUGUUCAGAACAUGGUUACUACAGUAAUUAUCAAAGAGGGGAAGAGAUGCACCCCGUUUGGCCAGGGGUGUUUUUACACCCCAGACAAGGUAUAAGAAGGAAAAAAUCAUUAUGAAAAUAUAAUUAUAUUUUCCUUAAAAUCUUCAUAUAUAACUGUGAUAUUCUGUAAAACAACAAACUUUAAAAUACUUUGUUCUUACUGGUGAAAAUCAGAUGGUCAUCAUCUCUGUUUUCUCUCAGGUACAUCACAGUGUAAGCUUCACAGUGAACAUUACUCUCGUCAGUGUAGUCCAUAUCAACAACAAAAAUACAUCUUGACUCCAUAUAGUGGUUAUUUUGGGAAAAAAUCCCAGGUAUUUUGAGCAGUAGGAUUAUUUAAAAAAUAAUUUUUACUUAAGUACAUAAAAAAUUGAGUACUUUUGUACUUUCACUUGAGUAAAAUUGAAAAAGGAGUACUUUUACUUUUACUGGAGUUAUAUUUUAUUAUACGUAUCUGUACUUUUACUCAAGUACUUGAUUUGUGUACUUCGUCCACCACUGCAUAUUAUAGAAUUCCUUGCCAAUUUAUGUUUUGAAAACAUAGUCAUUAUUUUUGCUAUUGUUAUGCUGCUAUUGGUGUAGAAAUUCUAAAUUUAGGGUUUGGGUUGGUGAUAAGGUUAACAUUAUUUGUUUUGAUAUGUUUUUUUCAGGACAGCAAAAGAUGACCAACAAAUUCUUCCCUUUGUAGAACCUCAGUGAACAGACACACAAAUAAACUACACAAUCUGAACACCAUUAAUGAUUAGCUAAAGGGGAACAAUGUUCAGAUUGUGUGGACCCGAUCUUUGCAAGACUGUGAAAUGAAUGAAAAGAUAGUAUUUUGAAUGGUGUGUGUUGUAUGACAUGUUAUAAGAGUUAUUAAACAAAAGCCUCCAAAUAUAUUUCCCCAUGUGAUAAGUUGGAGCAUCAUGUUGGAAUGCAUGCUCCAUCUUGCAACAAGACGAUUGGAAGAUCGUGUCGUGGGAUGGACCAAAUCCGCUUGGAUAAAACCCCAAUGCCGGAACUAUUAAGUUCAUGGCUUGAAAUACCUAUUUUAAGACGCUGCUAGCGUUCUUGUCAUCCAGAACUCAAAACACUCAGAAUCUUCAAAGUCUUGCAAACAGCGAAACCAGGCAACCAACCAAUAACCAGGAGGGUUUUCUCAAAAGACGUCAUCCAAAUGGCAGAUCUGCAACCAAUCCAAGGCACGGGGAUUCUCUUAGACGAGGAUUUUCAGAUACAUCCGAUAGAUCCCUCGCAGUCUAUCCUAUGCCAGAAUUCAUAGCACACCAGUGGUGACGGGACUUUUAUUCAAACAAAUUAGUGGGUGAUGGUUCUGUGGAGGCCAAUGGAUACACUUAGAAAUGGUUCGCAUCAUCUGGGUUCCUCUGAGGGUCAGCAUCAUCUCUUCUCAGGUGUUCUGGAUCCAGACUGGAGCUUGUGUAAAUCCUUGUUACCACGAGAUGUAAAUCCCGUGGCAAAACAUAGAAACAAAUAGAGACAUCAUUAGCAUAGCUGCUGAUCCAACAAAGUAGAAUUAAUUAGUUUAACCCAAGGUAAAGAAUAAGAGUGUGCAUUUGAUCAGAUGCAACUACACUCACAAUUUAAGAGAUACAUUAUUCGAUUGUUGGGCGAAAGAGAUGCGUUUUUAAUCUAGAUUUAGACAGAGAGAGUGUGUCUGAACCCCGAACAUUAUCAGGAAGGCUAUUCCAGAGUUUGGGAGCCAAAUGUGUAAAGCUCUACUCUAAGUAUUGUGUUUUAAUUUACUCGUAUAGCUAGUGAAACAAAUGUUAAGAGUCAGGGAUCUUAAAAAAUGUGAAUAGAUUCAUUUAUUAGCUGGUCGGAGUCAAAAGUUAUUGUAUUUAUUAAAUUGAGAGCUGAAUUUGAUGAUUCCUGUUCUUGAGACAAAAACUCAGCAAUUGUGCAUUGGAGGAAAGGCAUUACCUAUCUGUAAUAUUUCCACUAGGACCUCUUGGGUUCACAACAAUUAACCCUCACCCAUAUAUAAUGCCCACAACAAUAAGAUGAGUACUGUAGGCUACUUAAUAAACAGACUAGUCUUUCAGUCAUUUUCAUUUUAUUUGUAACUUUUAUUUUAUUAUUUAUUUAUUUUGUAACAAAAUAUUUCCACA